UAACAAGGAUCCCCUUAGUAACGGCGAGUGAAGCGGGGUGAGCUCAAAUUUAAAAUCUGGCUGGUUUACUAGUCCGAAUUGUAGUUUAUAGAAGCGUUUUCGGUGGCAGCCUGGGUAUAAAUCCUUUGGAAUAGGGUAUCAUAGAGGGUGAGAAUCCCGUCUUUGACCUAGUGCAUGCUACUAUGUGAUACGUUUUCAAAGAGUCGAGUUGUUUGGGAAUGCAGCUCAAAAUGGGUGGUAAAUUUCAUCUAAAGCUAAAUACAGGCGAGAGACCGAUAGCGAACAAGUACCGUGAGGGAAAGAUGAAAAGAACUUUGAAAAGAGAGUUAAACAGUGCGUGAAAUUGUUGAAAGGGAAACGUUUGACACCAGUUAUGCGGAUGGCAAAUCAGUCAAUUGCUGUAGGGAGUGGUAGGGGUUCGGACCGCAAGGCCGUCCUGUGCCUCAUUUUUGCAGUAAUUGAUGCACUUUGUCAUUUGCAGGUCAACAUCAGUUUCUUCUGCUGGACAAAACUCCAAGAGAAGGUAGCAGCUUUGGCUGUGUUAUAGCUCUGGAGCGAUACAGUGGUGGGGACUGAGGAUUUCGCAGUGUGUGCUCUCGGGCAAGGCCGACUGGGUGCUAUGGGAUCGUUCAGCGUACAAUGCAUGCAUUUUGCGCUGUGUCUUUUUCAUACUCGCUCAGCUCGGCUCUUCCACACUUAGGAUGUUGACUUAAUGGUUAUAAACGA
Molecule: ribosomal RNA, 726 nt
Filed under: Gamsiella multidivaricata
Lineage: Eukaryota; Fungi; Mortierellomycota; Mortierellomycetes; Mortierellales; Mortierellaceae
Description: eukaryotic LSU rRNA
Rfam family: Eukaryotic large subunit ribosomal RNA
Source: RNAcentral